This 253-nucleotide ribosomal RNA is filed under the name uncultured bacterium. RNAcentral describes it as "partial 16S ribosomal RNA". It matches the Rfam family "Bacterial small subunit ribosomal RNA", at positions 524 to 776 of the family's 1533-position model. The record is from RNAcentral.
UACAGAGGGUGCGAGCGUUACUCGGAAUUACUGGGCGUAAAGCGUGCGUAGACGGUUAUUUAAGUCGGGUGUGAAAGCCCCGGGCUCAACCUGGGAAUUGCAUUCGAGACUGAAUAGCUAGGGUACGGUAGAGGGAAGUGGAAUUUACGGUGUAGCAGUGAAAUGCGUAGAUAUCGUAAGGAAGACCAGUGGCGAAGGCGGAUCUCUGGACAGUUACUGACACUGAGGCACGAAGGCCAGGGGAGCAAACGGG